Molecule: ribosomal RNA, 431 nt
Filed under: Salmonella enterica subsp. enterica serovar Durban
Lineage: Bacteria; Pseudomonadati; Pseudomonadota; Gammaproteobacteria; Enterobacterales; Enterobacteriaceae
Description: partial 23S ribosomal RNA
Rfam family: Bacterial large subunit ribosomal RNA
Source: RNAcentral
AAUCCAUAGGUUAAUGAGGCGAACCGGGGGAACUGAAACAUCUAAGUACCCCGAGGAAAAGAAAUCAACCGAGAUUCCCCCAGUAGCGGCGAGCGAACGGGGAGGAGCCCAGAGCCUGAAUCAGCAUGUGUGUUAGUGGAAGCGUCUGGAAAGGCGCGCGAUACAGGGUGACAGCCCCGUACACAAAAGCGCAUGUGCUGUGAGCUCGAUGAGUAGGGCGGGACACGUGGUAUCCUGUCUGAAUAUGGGGGGACCAUCCUCCAAGGCUAAAUACUCCUGACUGACCGAUAGUGAACCAGUACCGUGAGGGAAAGGCGAAAAGAACCCCGGCGAGGGGAGUGAAAAAGAACCUGAAACCGUGUACGUACAAGCAGUGGGAGCACCCUUUGGGGUGUGACUGCGUACCUUUUGUAUAAUGGGUCAGCGACUUA